Long non-coding RNA from Hippopotamus amphibius kiboko, 195 nucleotides. RefSeq lists it as uncharacterized. The transcript has 3 exons. NCBI's taxonomy places the organism in Eukaryota, Metazoa, Chordata, Mammalia, Artiodactyla, Hippopotamidae. The record is from RefSeq and is a predicted model, not a curated record.
UGUGAAGCAGGGAUGAUAAGAGCACCUAUUUCGUGGGCACAUUGAGAAGAUUCGGGAAGCUAGCACAGUGUACGUGCUGGGUGAGGACACUUCGCCCUGAAUACUACAGCAUGAAUGUCAUUAACUAGAUGAACUCCGGCAUCCACAACUUGAACUCAUGUCUCCGCCUCUUGCUGACAAAAACUACAUUGCGUA